Pteropus alecto (black flying fox) is the source of this 119-nucleotide non-coding RNA. The record is from Rfam. NCBI's taxonomy places the organism in Eukaryota, Metazoa, Chordata, Mammalia, Chiroptera, Pteropodidae.
GUCUACGGCCACGCCACCCUGAACAAGCCCGAUCCCAUCUGAUCUCGGAAGCUCAGCAGGGCUGGGCCUGGUGAGUACUUGGAUGGGAGACCUCCCAGGAAGACCAGGUGCUGUAGGUG